This 478-nucleotide ribosomal RNA is filed under the name uncultured bacterium. RNAcentral describes it as "partial 16S ribosomal RNA". It matches the Rfam family "Bacterial small subunit ribosomal RNA", at positions 28 to 507 of the family's 1533-position model. The record is from RNAcentral.
GAUGAACGCUAGCGGCAGGCCUAACACAUGCAAGUCGAGGGAGAAGCCCUUUCGGGGGCAGAAACCGGCGCACGGGUGCGUAACGCGUAUGCAACCUGCCUUUCACAGGGGGAUAGCCCGAAGAAAUUUGGAUUAAUACCCCAUAAUAUUAUUGGAUGGCAUCAUUUGAUAAUUAAAACUGCGGUGGUGAAAGAUGGGCAUGCGUCCUAUUAGCUAGUUGGAGUGGUAACGGCACCCCAAGGCUACGAUAGGUAGGGGUCCUGAGAGGGAGAUCCCACACACUGGUACUGAGGCAGGGACCAGCCUCCUAAGGGAGGCAGCAGUGAGGAAUAUUGGUCAAUGGUCGGAAGACUGAACCAGCCAUGCCGCGUGCAGGAAGAAUGCCUUAUGGGUUGUAAACUGCUUUUAUAUGGGAAGAAUAAGGCGUACGUGUACGUUGAUGACGGUACCAUAUGAAUAAGCAUCGGCUAACUCCGUG